Long non-coding RNA from Micropterus dolomieu (smallmouth bass), 495 nucleotides. RefSeq lists it as uncharacterized. Lineage: Eukaryota; Metazoa; Chordata; Actinopteri; Centrarchiformes; Centrarchidae. The record is from RefSeq and is a predicted model, not a curated record. The transcript is spliced from 2 exons.
GCUACAUACUGAGGCGCUGCUGGAGGCACUCUCCUCGUUGUUGGUUGGCGGAGCCGCUCCUUUCCGGGAAUGAGGCAAGGAAGCCGGAGCCUUACAGCGGGACUUAGGAGUCUUGGUCUGGGAAUCCUCAUACUCUUCCGCCUGGGCAAAAAGGUCGCUGAACCUGCAGGAGGAGGAAGUGAUAUCAUCAGCCGCCACAGUGAUGUCACCCGUCAGUGUGUGUAUGCAGUGGAGAACUGUGAGGAUGACCACAUCCAUAUGCCUACGCACUGUGAUGCAGAAACAGAAUGGGAGGAUCCAUCUGUCUCUGACCACAGCUACACUUGAAGUCCUGAAGAACCUGAAGUCACAUCUGAUAUAUGAGCACAAUGUGUUGAGCUGUCUGUGUUGUACAUAUAACUCUGAGGAACAACCGCCUUUGUCAUUUUUUCUUUAUAAACCUUUACAAUGUAACCACAUGUUACCUGUCAGUAAAUAGUUCCUUAUAAACCUUUA